GAGCAAUCCAUGAGUAAAGUGGCGACCGGGUGAGUAACACGUGACUAACCUACCCCCGAGUGGGGAAUAACUCCGGGAAACCGGGGCUAAUACCGCAUAACAUCGCAAGAUCAAAGCAGCAAUGCGCUUGGAGAGGGGGUCGCGGCUGAUUAGCUAGUUGGUGAGGUAACGGCCCACCAAGGCGAAGAUCGGUAUCCGGCCUGAGAGGGCGCACGGACACACUGGAACUGAAACACGGUCCAGACUCCUACGGGA
Molecule: ribosomal RNA, 255 nt
Filed under: uncultured bacterium
Lineage: Bacteria
Description: partial 16S ribosomal RNA
Rfam family: Bacterial small subunit ribosomal RNA
Source: RNAcentral